GGCACGGACGCCAGAAGAGUACUCUGAAUCUUGGGAGUUGACAGAACAGGAGGAAUGUUCGGAAGUCAGAUGCAUCCCCGUUGCACAGGCAAUCUGAGUGCCAGAACAGUCCCAAGAGUGACCUAGCCAUGGCUACUGCUACCUGCUUCGACAGCAUCCUCAACUCCUGGCCCAGACUGGGCCCUCCUGCUUUCUUUCCAUUCCGUAACCUUCCACUGGCUUUCCAGGAAAUCUUGCUGCGAGGCAGAGUGGUUAGCGCCAGUUUUCAAAGGAGAAUGCUAACCAAUUAAGAAAGCAUUGCUUAAGUACUUUGCACAUGUUAAGCACUCUUAAUUAACGAGGUGUUUGGUCGGAAAGGCAUGUGAUUUGGCACAUUGCCAUCCAGAUAUCCAAGGUAUCUAAGGAUGAAAACUGAAGCAUGGAGAGGUUAAGUGACUUGCUGAAGACCACACCGCUGGCAAGUGGCAGGAGAGGGAUGUGAACCCAGGAAGUCUGGCUCCAGAGCCUGCACUCCCAACCCUCAUGAUUGUACUGCCUCUCAGGGAAAAGUAUACUUUUGUGUGCAUGACCAUCAAAUUAAUCACCAUAUUUUUUUCUUUUGAGCGUCAGACUAAAAAGAAACACAUUUCAAGAGACAUAUGCCUUCUGCAUCUCAGCUCCUACUUUUGAAAUCUUGAAGGUCAGAACUUCAAAUGAGCCAGUGUUUGCCUGCAGAAUGCUGUGGGAAAAGGCCAACGGAUGAAGGUUUUAUGUUGCCAAGCUCAACCCAUGUCAGCCUUUCUAACCAUAACUAUUUAGAUUAUCCAUUUAUCUGAGCAGCUUAAAUGGAUUUAUAGGUUAUAGGUGUUAACUAAUAAAUUCUUAUAUUCACUCUCCGUAGAAUUUGUAUUUAAAAUAAUAUUGCUGCCACGAAAAAUAACAUAUUACAUUUAGUGGAUGCUCCCAAUGUUUUUCAGCCUCUGGUCAUAUUUAUGUAUCUCAUAAAAGGCUCUGAACUUCAGUUUAUAUUGUAUAAAUGACUCCAUAUGAAUAAAGCAGAAUCUUUCUCUUCCUAAAGAUGCUCAUUAAUGGAAAUUCAUAGAAAGAAAACCCAAGCAUUUUAAAAAGCAGAAAGGAUACUCACUAUAGAUAAGAGCAUUGCUGCUUCCAGCAACUAAAAGAUGCACAAAUGGGUAGGUGGAGGGAGCUGUGUCACUACAAUCUCAUCCGGCUGCCCACAGUGUGGACCACACAUACACUCCCACUAACAGCGUGCCUCGUCCCCCACUCAGAGUUAGACUUCAUGCAUCUUUCAUCUUCUCAGUCUCCUCCCUGUGGGUCUCAAAACAACUAGAUAUUGCCCCGGAGCUGCCCAAGGUCUUAGCCUAUGGACCUCUGUGGCAUGGGCAAGAUGAGGGUUCCCCUUCCCUUUCCCACCUUAUUCCUCCCCACUCUCACCUCUUAUAGGAAGCAGGUAUUUGAUCAUAACAAGCAUCAUAGAUAUUUAUGAGAAAUGAUUAAUGCCAGGAACAGAAAGGUUUAUGUGUCUUGUAAAUGUGCUUCUAUAAAGUGUCUAAACACCUAAGAAGACACCUAGAAAGGGCUGUAAAAAUCUACUGUCACAAUCCUACCUGGACUUACCUGUUGUGGGAAACUGGAGGAUGGAAGCAGCUUCCCCAGGAGAAGGGCAGGAUAAGAUUGGGAGACAAGAGAAAAAGAGAUUUCCGGGCACCUGUCUGAGGCUGACUCAACUUGGCCUGACAUGAACCCCUCCAAAAAACAAAUGUUUUGCAACAUGCUCUGGACUUGAGAUGUGUUGUUAACCUGGCUGGUAAGACAGGUUCUUAAGUAACAGCACACCUUCCCAGGUACUGCAGGCCAUAAGAACUGCUUAGAUGGGAUCACCUUAAAGCACCCAUGCAUGUGCUGGAGAUGAGGUCCAUACCCCUUGGAAGCUUCCAGGCCCUAGGACACUGUCCUCGCUAGUUAGGACCUGAAUCAGCCCCAAUGAUCUUGGUGACUCCAAUGGCCCAGAAAUAUCCCAGCCAUACUAUUCACGCCUCUGUGGCACCUCAUCUCCCUUGCUUCUGCCCCGUACACAAAAACACCACCAUGUUCAUUUCUGUGGAGGAGAUACAAACUGGACCUCUUUGAAAUUGCUCCUUGUUUAUACUCUUUAUCACCCCUACAACCCUCUAGAUCAGAAUUAGAAAGGCUAAGAGAAUGUUUGCUGCUAUAGGAGAACAGAAAAGUGAAUUGUUCUGCCUGAGGGAGUUGUAUAAAGUUCAUCAGCUGUUACUGUAACACCCCAUGACAGGAUUUGCUCUUUACACCUUCACCUCUUCCCAGAUCCCAUCCUCAAAUGAAUGACUUCAGCAGUUAUACAGGGCAUAUAAAAUGAGACGCUCUUCAGGAAAUAAGUAAAAUUUAUGUGAUAAGCUAUUUAAAUUUCAUGUAACCAUUUAGGAAUUCCAGUGAGAAGGAAGUAAGGACGGGUGGGAGGAAGGGAGAGAGGGAGAAAGGGAGAAAGGGAGGGAGGGAAGACAAAGAAAAGAAAUCUAAUAAAGAAAUUUACUGGAGGGGUAUGUGGGAGAUAGUCCUAUGUGGGUAGCCCUUGAAAUCCGGAAUUCACCACUAAGAAUAGUUUUGUGAAAAAUACUCUGGAUUCUGUCCUUGAUUUAGAAUGUCUUUAAACACAGCAGAAGAUACACUAAGUCUGUUCAAUAUUGGAAAAGAAAAAUAUUAAGUGACAGAUUGUAAUUGCAGCCAAAUGCUAUAUCUUCAGUUUGGAUUCUGCAGUAAAUUAACAGGAACAUUGAAAAAAGUCAGUGUGACUGUGGCCAACCCUGGACUUGAUCAAUACUAUGUCAUGUAGCAAAAUAAAGAAUCUGA
Molecule: long non-coding RNA, 2871 nt
Filed under: Homo sapiens (human)
Lineage: Eukaryota; Metazoa; Chordata; Mammalia; Primates; Hominidae
Description: HSALNT0321818
Source: RNAcentral